AACACUGUUACAUACGGGUUACGAUCAAGC
RNAcentral lists this small RNA (30 nucleotides) under Bombyx mori (domestic silkworm). RNAcentral describes it as "piRNA piR-bmo-1551676". The record is from RNAcentral. Lineage: Eukaryota; Metazoa; Arthropoda; Insecta; Lepidoptera; Bombycidae.